Molecule: unclassified non-coding RNA, 253 nt
Filed under: uncultured Bacteroidota bacterium
Lineage: Bacteria; Pseudomonadati; Bacteroidota
Description: uncultured Bacteroidetes bacterium contains 16S-23S intergenic spacer region
Rfam family: Bacterial small subunit ribosomal RNA
Source: RNAcentral
UACGGAGGGUGCAAGCGUUGUCCGGAAUCAUUGGGUGUAAAGGGUGCGUAGGCGGGCAUCUAAGUCUGGGGUGAAAUCUUGCCGCUUAACGGUAAAAUUGCCCUAGAUACUGGGUGUCUUGAAUCUAGAAGAGGUCGGUGGAAUUCGUGGUGUAGCGGUGUAAUGCAUAGAUAUCACGAAGAACACCAGUGGCGAAGGCGGCCGACUGGGCUAGAAUUGACGCUGAGGCACGAGAGCGUGGGGAGCGAACAGG